Molecule: unclassified non-coding RNA, 213 nt
Filed under: uncultured Pezizaceae
Lineage: Eukaryota; Fungi; Ascomycota; Pezizomycetes; Pezizales; Pezizaceae
Description: sequence contains ITS1
Source: RNAcentral
UCAAAAAAAUUCAUUUUUUUUUUGAAAUACUUUUCCAUUUCCCUUGUGUAUCUAUUCCAUGUUGCUUCCACUAGACUGGUAUAUAUAUAUAUAUACCCUCCAAACCUCGUUGUUAACACUCUCGGGCUUGGAGACAUGUCAGUGGAUAGCCAUAAUUUUAAGAAAAACCUUUUAUAUAUAGUCUGAUAAAAAAGAGUUACAUUUAAAGAAAAA